GCGUAGGAUAGACCGGGGAGGUAGGCGUUCCCUGUAACCAGAAAUCGCCGAUAUGCUGGGGUCGAAACCAAGAGGCGAUGUAACGAGCAUUUGUUGAUCCAUGUGUUGACGAUGAAACCUCGUCCUUUGGGAUCAGAGGUGAUGAUUGUGUAUGGCCGGAGGGCUAUACGCGCAUCUUAGUUGCGGGGACCGGGUGAGGCACGGAAGUGAGCAGCCUUACCGCAAACUGCUGGUGCUCAUUGGGUUAGCGGGGUCAAGGAUGCAUGUGGGUAGUCAAUAGAUGAAACGUGCAGCCACUCUUUGGUGUUCCUGCGC
Molecule: signal recognition particle RNA, 315 nt
Filed under: Thermoplasmatota archaeon
Lineage: Archaea; Methanobacteriati; Thermoplasmatota
Description: Candidatus Thermoplasmatota archaeon signal recognition particle sRNA
Rfam family: Archaeal signal recognition particle RNA
Source: RNAcentral